AGAGUUUGAUCCUGGCUCAGGAUGAACGCUAGCUACAGGCUUAACACAUGCAAGUCGAGGGGAAACGAUAUUGGAAGCUUGCUUCCGAUAGGCGUCGACCGGCGCACGGGUGAGUAACGCGUAUCCAACCUGCCCACCACUUGGGGAUAACCUUGCGAAAGUAAGACUAAUACCCAAUGAUAUCUCUAGAAGACAUCUGAAGGAGAUUAAAGAUUCAUCGGUGAUGGAUGGGGAUGCGUCUGAUUAGCUUGUUGGCGGGGUAACGGCCCACCAAGGCUACGAUCAGUAGGGGUUCUGAGAGGAAGGUCCCCCACAUUGGAACUGAGACACGGUCCAAACUCCUACGGGAGGCAGCAGUGAGGAAUAUUGGUCAAUGGGCGAGAGCCUGAACCAGCCAAGUAGCGUGCAGGAUGACGGCCCUAUGGGUUGUAAACUGCUUUUAUAAGGGAAUAAAGUGAGAGUCGUGACUCUUUUUGUAUGUACCUUAUGAAUAAGGACCGGCUAAUUCCGUGCCAGCAGCCGCGGUAAUACGGAAGGUCCGGGCGUUAUCCGGAUUUAUUGGGUUUAAAGGGAGCGUAGGCCGGAGAUUAAGCGUGUUGUGAAAUGUAGAUGCUCAACAUCUGCACUGCAGCGCGAACUGGUUUCCUUGAGUACGCACAAAGUGGGCGGAAUUCGUGGUGUAGCGGUGAAAUGCUUAGAUAUCACGAAGAACUCCGAUUGCGAAGGCAGCUCACUGGAGCGCAACUGACGCUGAAGCUCGAAAGUGCGGGUAUCGAACAGGAUUAGAUACCCUGGUAGUCCGCACGGUAAACGAUGGAUGCCCGCUGUUGGUCUGAAUAGGUCAGCGGCCAAGCGAAAGCAUUAAGCAUCCCACCUGGGGAGUACGCCGGCAACGGUGAAACUCAAAGGAAUUGACG
RNAcentral lists this ribosomal RNA (917 nucleotides) under uncultured bacterium. Its description in RNAcentral is "bacterial SSU rRNA". It matches the Rfam family "Bacterial small subunit ribosomal RNA", at positions 8 to 915 of the family's 1533-position model. The record is from RNAcentral.